This 439-nucleotide ribosomal RNA is filed under the name uncultured bacterium. RNAcentral describes it as "partial 16S ribosomal RNA". It matches the Rfam family "Bacterial small subunit ribosomal RNA", at positions 339 to 795 of the family's 1533-position model. The record is from RNAcentral.
CUACGGGUCGCAGCAGUGGGGGAUAUUGCACAAUGGAGGAAACUCUGAUGCAGCAACGCCGCGUGAAGGAAGAAUGUCUUCGGAUUGUAAACUUCUAUCAGCAGGGAAGAAAAUGACUGUACCUGACUAAGAAGCCCCGGCUAACUACGUGCCAGCAGCCGCGGUAAUACGUAGGGGGCAAGCGUUAUCCGGAAUUACUGGGUGUAAAGGGUACGUAGGCGAUUAUUCAAGUCAGAUGUGAAAGCCCGAGGCUCAACCUCGGGAUUGCAUUUGAAACUAGAUAACUAGAGUGCAGGAGAGGUAAGUGGAAUUCCUAGUGUAGCGGUGAAAUGCGUAGAUAUUAGGAAGAACACCAGUGGCGAAGGCGGCUUACUGGACUGUAACUGACGCUGAGGUACGAAAGCGUGGGGAGCGAACAGGAUUAGAUACCCGAGUAGUC